Molecule: ribosomal RNA, 491 nt
Filed under: uncultured bacterium
Lineage: Bacteria
Description: partial 16S ribosomal RNA
Rfam family: Bacterial small subunit ribosomal RNA
Source: RNAcentral
GAUGAACGCUGGCGGCGUGCUUAUCACAUGCAAGUCGAACGGAAAGGCCUUGUGCUUGCACAAGGUACUCGAGUGGCGAACGGGUGAGUAACACGUGGGUGAUCUGCCCUGCACUGUGGGAUAAGCCCGGGAAACUGGGUCUAAUACCAUAUAGGACCACUUCUUGGAUGUUGUGGUGGAAAGCUUUUGCGGUGUGGGAUGAGCCUGCGGCCUAUCAGCUUGUUGGUGGGGUAAUGGCCUACCAAGGCGGCGACGGGUAUCCGGCCUGGGAGGGGGUACGGACACAUUGGGACUGGGAUACGGCCCAGACUCCUACGGGAGGCAGCAGUGGGGAAUAUUGCACAAUGGGCGCAAGCCUGAUGCAGCGACGCCGCGUGGGGGAUGACGGCCUUCGGGUUGUAAACUCCUUUCGCUAUCGACGAAGCCACCUUGGGUGGUGACGGUAGGUAGAUAAGGAGCACCGGCUAACUACGUGCCAGCAGCCGCCGUAA